AAGAAAGCCUCAGUGUACCAAUUCCCUUCUUCACAUUAGCAAGAGUCCAAAAGCUGCAAAGGCCAGUCUAGUUCAGAUUUCUCUUCUUACCUGGUUGGUUUUCUGCAGCCUGAAGAAGAGGAAUCUCACACUACAGAUUUAGUACCUCUCACGUGGAGAAAGGUUUUUUAUUGAGGUCUCUUGAGUACAGAAUUUUGCCUGCUGAGAAAGCAUGUAACCCUGAUUGACUAAAGAGUGGAGCUGCACACAGACAUCACUCAUUCCUUCUUAACUCCUUGCAGCCUUUUUGAGAAUUGCUGCACUUCAAAAGCCUGUGUACC
Molecule: long non-coding RNA, 320 nt
Organism: Poecile atricapillus (Black-capped chickadee)
Lineage: Eukaryota; Metazoa; Chordata; Aves; Passeriformes; Paridae
Exons: 3
Source: RefSeq, a predicted model, not a curated record